Molecule: unclassified non-coding RNA, 231 nt
Filed under: Hevea brasiliensis (rubber tree)
Lineage: Eukaryota; Viridiplantae; Streptophyta; Magnoliopsida; Malpighiales; Euphorbiaceae
Source: RNAcentral
GUAGUGAGGGCUUGACCGAUUGGAUAGUCCUUGUCUCUUAGCCGCACCUCCAAGUUGGCACCAUAUGCAGUAUCACCUUGAGCACGGAUAGCACCGGUGGUUGCCACAAGACCGACCCUCUUCCCAAUCGAAAGUUGAUCCUCAAUCUUCAUUCCAGUUGCUACAGUUUCACCCAAGAAAGUCACAGAUAUUCCAGCAGCAGUUUUGUUCUUCUUGAAAUUCUUAAAUUUG